CCCUAGUAACGGCGAGUGAACAGGGAAAAGCCCAGCACCGAAGCCUGCGGUAGUUUUACUGUUAGGCAUUGUGGUGUUUGGGCGGGCUCGCGGGAUUGCCGCUCCACUCGAAGUCCAGCAUUGAGUAUGGUUUCUGGAUUUGGCCCAGAGAGGGUGAAAGGCCCGUGCGGGUGGAGUUUCAGACAUGAUUGGCAAUUCACUAGGUCCGCCCUAGAGUCGGGUUGUUUGGGAAUGCAGCCCAAAGCGGGUGGUAAACUCCAUCCAAGGCUAAAUACUAGCACGAGUCCGAUAGCGAACAAGUACCGUGAGGGAAAGUUGAAAAGUACUUUGAAGAGAGAGUAAACAGUACGUGAAACCGCAUGAAGGUAAACGGGUGGCGUCAAGCUGCAAGCCUAGAGGAUUCAGUUGGUCAGGAUGUUGUGUAUGCGCCUAGCGCAUCUAUCAGUCGGUAUAGUUCAAACAGUCUGGCUGUAAAAGACAGACCCAGUCGCAAGAUUGGGAUUUGCAGUCCGUUUGGUUGGCGGAGCAAACUGUUUGGCUGUGGGCUGUCUGGCCGAUGCACUUUCUCUAUGGUGAACACCACGACCGGUGGUACUGCCAGUCUGCUUUGGUCAAGUCCUUGUUAACUGGUACUUGUUGCCAGCUAGCCUGGAUCACAUGCAAUUUCAGUAUACGGUGUUCGAGCAUUUCGGUGUCCGAGCAUGUUAUCGGAAACUGGUUGUAAACGGGCUGUGUGAAAUGGUUGUUAAACGUUUCGCGUAGUCUGGUGGACCUUUGUGGUAUGAAUAACUGUGCAGGGCACUGGUGUUAUCGGUCUCUGAAUCUGACUGUUGCACACUUUUCAAGUGGCGUGUGCAGGCGUCGUUCGCGUUUGCCUAUGCUUCGAUCUGAUCGUCGUGUCGCCUGCGAAAAGUAGGCCCGUCUUUGGUCUGGCGUAGGUUGAGCGUGUGGCGGCGUUUGUCGUAACAGUCAGUGUGGACCUAAUAGUCUGUGGUGUAGUGGUAGACGAGCUACCCGACCCGUCUUGAAACACGGACCAAGGAGUUUAACAUGCGCSCAAGUCAUGGGGUCUUACGAAACCCAAAGGCGCAGUGAAAGUGAAGCCUCGUUUUGUCGCGGGGUGUGGUGAGAUCCUGUUGUUACUCGCAUCGUCCUUUGUGCUAGCACUAGGCAAAGAGCAACAGGCGCAUCACCGGCCCGUCCCAUGAUGUGGUCGUCAGCUUCGGUU
RNAcentral lists this ribosomal RNA (1228 nucleotides) under Ditrachybothridium macrocephalum. RNAcentral describes it as "eukaryotic LSU rRNA". It matches the Rfam family "Eukaryotic large subunit ribosomal RNA", at positions 78 to 786 of the family's 3401-position model. Lineage: Eukaryota; Metazoa; Platyhelminthes; Cestoda; Diphyllidea; Echinobothriidae. The record is from RNAcentral.